AGCUAUUGUUUCCUCCCAUCUUCAGAGCCAGUUUACAUCGACAAAAGAAAAAAUUAAAGAAAAUUGAGAUUUCCUUUAAUAAAUACAUAUUAUCAACUUUUUCUCAUAGUCAGAGAUGCUGAGAUGUUCAUGGGUGCCUGAAAGAUGUUGAGGAACAUUCAGAGCCUCCUCCGUGAGAAUAGAUUGCUAUUACCCUAUAAAAUCAUAUUUCAAAUGACUUUUCUUACAGUUGCCAAAGACUCAACUCAUGAUGAUAGAUGCAUACGCAAGGAUUUUUGACAAAUCCUCAAUGUAAAAGAAUAUGAGCAGAGCAGGAUCUUUACAGGAGACUGGAAAAGGAGGUGAUUCCCUCUCCGACUACUCCCCAAUACGUUUCACGCUGUGGCUGGAGAAUAUCUCUGGAAAAAUACCAACAUUUUCUUGAAGUGAAUUUACCUCUUUUAACCUGUGCACUCUGCAAUGCAGCGACACAGUGCCUGUACGUCUCCUCGGCCCAGAUCUUGGGAAACUUGCCUGUUUUGGUGUGCAUCAGAGAGACAUCUGGAUUCUUCUCCUGGAUCUGGCCUUGCUGACAGGAAAUGUCCUCUGACGAUCACAUGGCCCUGCCGAGGUGGAAGACCAAAUCUAUGUAAAUGAUGAAACUACCACAAUUAGUAACCCCCAGAUGGUUCCUUCAUUGGAACCACCACCAACUUUAAAGGUAUGAACACACAUGGGUA
RNAcentral lists this long non-coding RNA (719 nucleotides) under Felis catus (domestic cat). Its description in RNAcentral is "lncRNA (ENSFCAG00000049714.1)". Lineage: Eukaryota; Metazoa; Chordata; Mammalia; Carnivora; Felidae. The record is from RNAcentral.